Molecule: long non-coding RNA, 412 nt
Filed under: Populus trichocarpa (black cottonwood)
Lineage: Eukaryota; Viridiplantae; Streptophyta; Magnoliopsida; Malpighiales; Salicaceae
Description: long non-coding RNA (PTRI_LNC004268)
Source: RNAcentral
UUUGCAUCAUCAUGAGAAUUCUGUGGAAGGUGAUGCAAAUGAGGGGCACACAGUAAAUGAAUAACUUUCUAGGAAACUUGGCUUCUAGACUUCAUGAAACACAAGAUAUCAUGUUUCUUUAAUGGGAAUUAAAGAGUCAUCAUAAUUGGAUCCUAAUCUGCUUCUCGUUUGAAAAAAUCCAAAUCGAGGACAAUCCUAGUUCUAUAUUCUGACAUUAUCAUCCAAAGCAGUGUCAAUGUUUCACAAUAUGAUUCAGCAUAAGCUUCUUCAGGUAUGCAGGGACAGAAGAUGGACAUUUUCAUGAGCUAGCAUGCUCAUCAUGCAACCUUUUUCUCAGCUCCUUGUGAUCUCUAUCUGAUUCAAAUCAUGAAGAGAUAAUGGACAACUAUCAUAAUAAUGGAGGGGUUUUAUU